AAAGCUUUGAAAAUAAUGGACUUUUUUUUUUUACUUUGCUUUUUUCUGAUUUUGAAAAAAAGACUCAAUUGAAAGACACAGAGGGUGGGGGUGACCAAUGGGUGUUGCAUCUGUGGAGUUCGUUGAUCCAAGCGAACCUGUUGCAAUGGUUCCCAUGCUAAAGUUCUUUCAUGUGUCUCUUUCAAUUCUUAAGGUGUGUGUAGUAGAGAAUUAUGAACAAGUGUGAAACAGCUUGAAAGGAAAUGAAAACCCCAAGUUAUUGCAAAAAAAAGGGGGUGGGGCGCUGGAAGAGGAGGAGGAGGAAGGGGGCUGCAUUUACAGGGUAGGGAUGGAGGUGAGGGCUGGAAAAGGAGAAAACGUAGAGAGGAGCGGCGUGGGCGGAGUGGGGUGUGCGAAAAAGAAAGAAAA
This 408-nucleotide long non-coding RNA is filed under the name Capsicum annuum. Its description in RNAcentral is "long non-coding RNA (CANN_LNC004231)". Lineage: Eukaryota; Viridiplantae; Streptophyta; Magnoliopsida; Solanales; Solanaceae. The record is from RNAcentral.